UUUGACACCUAGAUGCAGAGCAUUCAAACCACAUCUCUUCUAGCAGAUUCGUGUUUUCAUGUGGUGUCAUUUGUCUUCCACCUGAAGAAUUUUUUAAACCUUUUCUGAAGUGAGGUGGAACAUAACUCCCGAUGCCUUAAG
Long non-coding RNA from Lemur catta (Ring-tailed lemur), 141 nucleotides. RefSeq lists it as uncharacterized. The record is from RefSeq and is a predicted model, not a curated record. The transcript is spliced from 3 exons. Lineage: Eukaryota; Metazoa; Chordata; Mammalia; Primates; Lemuridae.